GGCCAUUCCAAGUGCGGGCCCGCAGAUACCACACCCACCCGGAAGUCCUCCUGGCCCACAAGCUCCGCGGCGCAGCCCGGGUUCCCGCCCACGUCUCUCCUUCCGGGGCUCUCACUCCAUACCUCCCCACAAGCUGAGGGAGCCGGCUCCGGCCUCAGCCAGCCCAGAAAGGGGCUCCCACAGUGCAGCGGGCUGAAGGGCUCCUCAAUAGCGACCAGAGUGGGCACCAAGGCCGAGGAGGCACCAAAAGCGAGUGAGGGCUGCGAGGGCUGCGAGGGCUGCCAGCACAUUGUCGCCUCUCAGUAGGGUCUUUGAGAGACAAGGUAUUUCACUGUAACAGACAUCAGACUAAAAGAUAAAACCCUGACACUUUGGACAUUUCAAAAGUUAAAAUAAUUGUAUACCCUUCAAUUAUUGGAACCAUUUCAAUCAAUGCCCUAUACUAUGCCAAAUGACAGGAUCUUGCUAUGAUUCCCAGGCUGAUCACAAACUCCUGACCUCAAGCAACCCUUUCACCUCAGCAUCCCAAAGUGCUGGGAUUACAGGAUGAUCCACUAUGUCUGGCCCAUAAAUAGAUGAAAUUUCGCUCUGUCUCCCAGGCUGGAGUGCAGUGGUGCGAUCACUGCUCACUGUGACCUCCGUCUCCCAGGUUCAAGUGAUUCUCCUGCCUCAGUCUCCUGAGUGGCCGGCACUAUGGGCACACACCACCACGCCCAUCUAAUUUUUGUAAUUUUAGUAGACACAGAGUUUUACCAUAUUGGUCAGGCUGGUCUCGAACUCCUGACCUCAGGUGAUCGACCUGCUUUGGCUUCCCAAAGUCCUGGGAUUACAGGUGUGAGCCACCGCGCCUGGCUGGUUUUCUUUUAGAUUUUUUUUUAAAUUUUAUAAUUAUUUUUUAAGUUCCCUGGAUACAUGUGUAGGAUGUGAAGGUUUGUUACAUAGGUAAAUGUGUGCCAUGGUGGUUAGCUCCACCUAUCAACCCAUACGCUAGGUAUUAAGCCCAGUUCUUCCAUGGUAAACUUUUCAUUUUUGAUGAUAUCAUUCACUCCUCUUCUCUCCUUUUGAUGCAAGUAUUCUGCACUCAAGUCUAGCCCUUAUUAACAUUAGUAUUUCUUUAGAAAUUUCCCCAAAUCAUAUUUUAAUCCAUCUUUCAAGCACUUAAAUAAAUUUCUUAACAUAGUACAUAUCACUUUUGAAAUCCAAAAAUUUUUAAGAUCUCUUCAAUACAUUCAGGGGCUGUUUACAAUUCAAAAAUAAAUAUUAUUUGAGCACUACAUACUUCUCCAAACAUAUUUUUCAAAAGUUUCUAAAGUUUUCUGCUGUUCUGGAAUGUUUUCCUUAUUACUUUAAUAUGCCAUAUGUAUAUGUAAUAUUUUUCAUAAGGUUGCCUUUUUCCCUAGAAUUCCCUGCUUGAAUGCUCUUUGCUUCUUUAGAUUUUAAGACUGAAAGUCUUGCUUGUAUCAUGGAACUGAUCUUAUGUCCUCAGAUAAUUAUAAUCCUUUCCUGUUCUUGAUUAUGAGAAGAGGUAAUGAUUUUGCUGUGAAAUCCAUCUUAGGAGUGUCCAUCUCCUCAGUCAAUCAAAUUUAAGACUCAGAAUUUAUCUCUGAAACCUAAUACUAAAUUUUUCCUAUGAAAUCAUGUUCAAAGAUACUUGUAAACUAUUUUGAUUUGAGGAUACGAAUUUUCCUCUGCAGUCUUGCCACUUGCAUGGUUUGGAGCCCGGACUUACACAUGAUCAUCUACAGAAGUGGAUACAUAAAUAGGGACAAUAAUUAAGGUUUAGCCCAUCAUAGGAUCAGCCAAAAUAUCAGCAUCAUCAGUCAAUAUAAAAGGUAAAAGGUAGCAUAGCAUCAAAAUAAAAGAAAUGAGUCAUAUCACAGAAAAGAACUGCUUGUAUCAUCCUGUACUUAGGAACUUGAGCAUUUGGAAAACUCGUGAGUUUACAGUUUAAGAGCUGUGACAGGAAUAAGUUAUCUGAUAUGCAAGGCCUGAUGGGUAUCUCAGUUCUCUACCUCAUAGGCUAGUAGAAAUUUGUGGCAAAUUUUCUUUUAGGUUUUCUUUUUGCUGCCAUAAUUAUUUUGGCUCAUAUUUUUUGAAUUGUGUUUCUUCAAGUUCAUAGGAUUUGUGGGACAAAAUUCUAAGAGUAUACCUGUAUUACAGACUUGAGGGCUUUUUAGUGUAUUCAUUUUCAUUCUGGGACGAGGGGAGAGGAGAUGAAGGUGAAAACAGAAAGCAUUGGCAUUUGGAAAUGGCUGAGCUUUCUGUUAAUUUCUUUCUUUCUUGCUAGAAAUACUGGUAAAGUGUAAGAAAAAAACAAUAAUCAGAGAAAGAACUUCUCAGUGUUAACUAGCUAUGUGCUCUAUCAGGAAGCAUUUCAGGUUUUCAAGUAGGAUUUUAGUUAAUAGUGCAUGGUUUUUAUUAUACUUUAAGUUCGGGGUACAUGUGCAGGACAUGCAGUUUUUUUACAUAGGAAUACAUGUGCCAUGGUGGUUUGCUGCACCCAUCAACCCAUCACCUACAUUAGGUGUUUCUCUUAAUGCUAUCCCUCCCCUAGCUCCCCAUCCUGUGACAGACCCUGGUGUGUGAUGUUCCCCUCCCUGAGUCCACCUGUUCUCCUUGUUCAGUUCCCACAUCUGAGUGAGAACAUGUGGUGCUAGGUUUUCUGUUCUUGUGAUAGUUUGCUGAGAAGGAUGGUUUCCAGCUUCCUCCAUGUCACUUUUGACAUGGACAUGAACGUAUCCAUUUUUAUGGCUGCAUAGUAUUCCAUGGUGUACAUGUGCCACAUUUUCUUUAUCUAGUCUGUCAUUUGGGUCUGGACAUUUGGGUUGGUUCCACAUCCAUGGUUUUUAAAACAGUGUUUUCAAAACUCUUUGAAAACUGUUUACCUAAGUAUUAAUAAUGUGAAAAUGGUUAUUGAUGUUAAGGUGAGAUGCUGUAUUUCAUAUGUGUGCAAUAAAUGGAUAUCAUUCUUGAAGACUCAUUGUGUCCAUUAACAAAUUGAGGUCUCUGAACAUUCCUGUUUUUAAAAGGAAACUUUGUCAUUGUUUACAUAAAAUUUUCCAAGCUUAUACACUUAUAUAUUAAGAUCUGAAAGGCAAAUAUUCAGCAGAAUAGCUGUUUGUGAACACAGUUCUAGGGUAAUAACCCAUAAAAAUUUUAGUAUAAAUAAACAAGGAUCAAAGUUAUUACUCUAAUUUUCUCAGAUCCAGAAUAUUAAGAACUUACAUAUGCAUCUUGGUGGUUCUGACCAGUCUCCAUUACUACA
Molecule: long non-coding RNA, 3265 nt
Filed under: Homo sapiens (human)
Lineage: Eukaryota; Metazoa; Chordata; Mammalia; Primates; Hominidae
Description: HSALNT0019561
Source: RNAcentral